GAUAAAUUCAGCAGUUCCCCUCUGCUGGGUAGUGAAUUGCAAAGCAAAAACUCAACCUUGAGCACAAAGGAGCUUUCAAAGGAAAUCCGGGACCAAGUUCUGGAAAGGCACAGAUCAGUGGAUGGGUAUAAAAAGAUUUCAAAGGCCUUGAAUAUCUCUCAGAGCACGGUCAAGACUAUUGUUAAGAAGUGGAAAGUGUAUGGCACCACCGAUACCCUGCGGAGCUCAGGCCGUCCCUCCAAACUGGAUGACCGAGCAAGCAGGAGACUGAUUAGAGUGGUUACCAAGAGUCAAAUGGAAACUUUCAAAGAGCUCCAGGCUUUUAAGGCCGAGACUGGUCAAAGUGUGCAUGUGACAACAAUAUUCCAAGCACUCCACAAAUGUUGCAUGUAUGGUAGUGUGGCAAGAAGGAAUCCAUUACUCAGGAAAGCCCACUUGGAAUCGCAUUUGAAGUAUGUAAAAAAAAACACUUGAUUCUGUAGCCUCGUGGCAAAAAGUGUAGUGUUCUGACGAAACAGAAAUGUAACUGUUUGACCUGAAUGUAAAGCGAUACGUUUGGAGCAAAGGCAACACAUCACCCAAAGAACACUCAUCCCUACUGUGAAGCAUGGAGGUAGCAGCAUCAUGUUAUGGGGAUGUUUCUCAUCGCCAGGGAAUUAUCAGGAUAGAAGUGGAAAUGAAUGGAGCAAUGUACAGAAAAGUCCUAGAGGAAAACCUGCUACGCGCUCUGCAAGAAAGCUGGAACUGGGACAGCAUUUCACCUUUCAGCAUGACAACAACCCAAUGCACACGGCCAAAGCUACAGUGGAGUGGCUAAGGAAUAAAAAGUUUGUUGACAGACUCUCAUCUGACAGAGGUUGAUGGUGAAGAUGGCGUGAGAUCUGGAACUAGAUGCGUUCAUCUGGGUACUGGCCGUGGUACGAGACAACGCUCCCAGCUUCAGACACUGUAACAGCUGUAAUACACAAACUGUUAGUACUGUACACACUAGGGCUGGGCAAUACAUCACAUUUGAAUGUAUGUUUUAGCGCAAUAUUCCAAAUGCCUGUUUCGCAAUAACCUAGUUUUUAUUAAAUGUUUCGUUUUUUUACGAGCAUUUAUGUCC
Long non-coding RNA from Oncorhynchus kisutch (coho salmon), 1105 nucleotides. RefSeq lists it as uncharacterized. The record is from RefSeq and is a predicted model, not a curated record. The transcript has 2 exons. Lineage: Eukaryota; Metazoa; Chordata; Actinopteri; Salmoniformes; Salmonidae.